Molecule: long non-coding RNA, 293 nt
Filed under: Hordeum vulgare
Lineage: Eukaryota; Viridiplantae; Streptophyta; Magnoliopsida; Poales; Poaceae
Description: long non-coding RNA (HVUL_LNC021438)
Source: RNAcentral
UUGUUGUUGUUAUUGUUGUUGUUGUAGUUGUUGUUGUUGUUGUUGUUGUUGUUGUUGUUGUCGUCGUCGUUGUCUUCGUUGUUGUUGUUGUUGUUGUUAUUGUGGUUGUUGUCGUUGUUGUCGCUGUUGUCGUUAAUGUCGUUAUUGUCAUUGUUCUCGUCAGUGUAUUUGUUGUCGUCGUUGUUGUCGUCGUUGUGGUUGUUGUUGUUUUUGUCGUUGUUGUUGUUGUUGUUGUUUUUGUUGUUAUUGUUGUUGUUGUUGUUGUUGUUGUUGUUGUUGUUGUUGUUGUUGUU